GGUGUGUACUUGUGAAAGCCAAAGAGCACAUGAUGCAUUCUGACAGCUGUGCAUAGAGAGAGAUAGAGAGAGAGCAAGACAAUCCGUAUAAAAGGGCGGAGCUCCAGAGAAAACUUCCUCUUCAAGCUGCUUCUUCAUUUGCUGGCCACUCAUGCUGUUCACAGUCUGGCUGGCAGUCAGUCCUCUGCAUUUAAAGACCAACUUUGGCUGCUAGAAAUGCUGUAUUUUCUCCAUGAUCUUUGAAGGUCCCGCUGGUUUUUCCAUUCCAGCUGUUUUUGGACUUUGCCCUUGAGCAACUUUAACGGAGUCACUUUUCCUUUUCCUGAACAAGCGUGCAAUUUCAGCAAGGUUCACUCUUUGGCGUUACACAACCUUCAGGAUUAAUUUUAAGCUGUGUUGUGCACAAAUACCGCAGCGAUGAUCAUCAGACUCGGCAGACUGACACCUGGAUACUUCCGUCUACUGCAGAGGCAGGUAGCAGGUGAGGUUCAGGCCCCAACUCACGACCGCUUGGUCAACCAGAUCGCCAUGAUGCUGGCCAUCAUGGGCCUCAGCCUGUCCUACUACAGUGCCAAACAGAUGAUGGAGAAGGUUCACCACGAACCCGCCCCGUGAAGAUGUGCAAAUGUGCUCUGGAUUGACAUCAUCUGGAGGAGACGAAUCCAAACUGAAGAUGUUCAGACUCUGUCACAAUACCUUUCUAUAACCUCCAGGGAUCACACACCGCAGGACAUCUGCUUAGGGGUUGCUUUAGUUUAGCUCUCAAUGGGAUCUGGAAGGGUUGACUUGAUGCAUGCAUCAGAGAGUCAGUCAAUAGGUUGCUUUAGGCAGAAAACUCAAGCUCCACCAAUGCAUGAGCAAACCAGGAGCUCAUCUCUGAGCCAUAAUGUCUUUUAAGAGGAAGGACCUCUGUAUUUGACAUGUACCAAGCAACUAUUGAAAGCAGGUCCAAUGCACAAUGGUGAAAUGCUCCGAUUUUUCCCAAAAAAGAUGCUGUUAAAGAACAUUCAAAGCCUUGGGGGGACUUCUAGUGAAGGUGCUGCUAUACAAUACCACACUUGGUGUCAGACACUUUAGGAAAUUUACUACACAAACAAAACUUGAUAUUUUGAUUACAACUUAAGUGAAUAUCUUCUCGUUUGUCCUGAUGAAUUUCUCAACUCUUUUAUAUGUUAAUGCCGACUUUGUGUGCAAUUGGAUGAGUUUGAAGCAGUUUGUUUUAGUGCAACCAAUCCAUAAUGUUGUUUCUAAAGCUUUUUUAUAAUAAUGUGAUUUAUAUGCUGAUGCUGUAUGUGUACUGUAUGUUAUAUUUUUAAGACCCCACGAUCAAAUAAAGCUGUGAAUAUUUUGAACACGA
Carassius carassius (crucian carp) is the source of this 1357-nucleotide long non-coding RNA. RefSeq lists it as uncharacterized. Lineage: Eukaryota; Metazoa; Chordata; Actinopteri; Cypriniformes; Cyprinidae. The transcript is spliced from 3 exons. The record is from RefSeq and is a predicted model, not a curated record.